GACGCGUCCGGCUGGGGCGGGAGCUGCCGGCCUGUAGCGAGCCUGCACCGGGCCAGGACCCCGAACCCCGGACCCCGGACCCCGGGGCUGACUGGCCCGCUGGGUUUGAAUCAGUUACAUGUGGGAGAGAGAACAGAAAGGAAGGAAAAAAAGAAUAGGCCAUUAAGAGCUGGGACAAAGAUCAUCACAAUCACAUCACAGCUCAUGAAGUUGGGUCCCAAAGAACAAGUUUGUCCACGGUCACAAACCUAGGAAAUGGCUGAGUAAUUGAUCGAAAUCUUCAGAAAAUUGAAAGACCUUGUGUUUUUCAAUCAAAGUCUUGAAGCCUCCCUGGCCAACAAAGAACAUUAAACACAG
RNAcentral lists this long non-coding RNA (357 nucleotides) under Vombatus ursinus (common wombat). Its description in RNAcentral is "lncRNA (ENSVURG00010022384.1)". The record is from RNAcentral. Lineage: Eukaryota; Metazoa; Chordata; Mammalia; Diprotodontia; Vombatidae.